This 497-nucleotide ribosomal RNA is filed under the name uncultured bacterium. Its description in RNAcentral is "partial 16S ribosomal RNA". It matches the Rfam family "Bacterial small subunit ribosomal RNA", at positions 28 to 507 of the family's 1533-position model. The record is from RNAcentral.
GAUGAACGCUGGCGGCGUGCCUAAUACAUGCCAGUCGAGCGAACAGACGAGGAGCUUGCUCCUCUGACGUUAGCGGCGGACGGGUGAGUAACACGUGGAUAACCUACCUAUAAGACUGGGAUAACUUCGGGAAACCGGAGCUAAUACCGGAUAAUAUAUUGAACCGCAUGGUUCAAUAGUGAAAGACGGUUUUGCUGUCACUUAUAGAUGGAUCCGCGCCGCAUUAGCUAGUUGGUAAGGUAACGGCUUACCAAGGCAACGAUGCGUAGCCGACCUGAGAGGGUGAUCGGCCACACUGGAACUGAGACACGGUCCAGACUCCUACGGGAGGCAGCAGUAGGGAAUCUUCCGCAAUGGGCGAAAGCCUGACGGAGCAACGCCGCGUGAGUGAUGAAGGUCUUCGGAUCGUAAAACUCUGUUAUUAGGGAAGAACAAAUGUGUAAGUAACUAUGCACGUCUUGACGGUACCUAAUCAGAAAGCCACGGCUAACUACGAG